UGUAGUUGUGUGAAUGGUUUUUUGAUCUGGGAAGAUACGAUUGCUCACAAUGAGGCUGUUGAAAUUUGACUAGCACAUAAAUAUGACCUCAAUGAGACCUUGUAGUGGAUGUUGGCAAUAAUUGAUCCAUUGUAGAAGUAGGGUGUAUAUCUAAAUAGAAUCUAUUGAUCUUGAUAAAGAAUAGUCCUAUGAGAUUUGAGAGACUUCAUCUCAGAGUCUAUGGCUACAGUAAUGUGAUUGAUGAAAAAAAAUUUUAUAAGGAUCAUAAUUGAACUUGAGCUAAUCAAAUCUAUCAUAUGACUGAUGAUGAGAUUUGAUGAUUUAUCCAUAACCUGCCAUCU
Molecule: long non-coding RNA, 341 nt
Filed under: Elaeis guineensis (African oil palm)
Lineage: Eukaryota; Viridiplantae; Streptophyta; Magnoliopsida; Arecales; Arecaceae
Description: long non-coding RNA (EGUI_LNC076565)
Source: RNAcentral